AUGGGAUCCUUGGGCCCUGCCGUGAGCGUGAGCAUGGCCAAGGCCAACGGCGGCAAGGUGGCCGUCGGCGGCCAGAAGCAGCAGCAGAGCGGCACGUUCAGCUGCGGCUUCCAGAUGCCGCUGCACUACCCGCGGUACAGGAAGGCGGACUACGAGGCGAUGCCGGAGUGGCGCGUCGACUGCCUGCUCCGAGAGUACGGCCUCCCUGUCACAGGCGACAUCGAGGAAAAGAGGAGGUUCGCCAUGGGCGCCUUGCUCUGGCCCGGCCAGUAUUGA
Molecule: ribosomal RNA, 276 nt
Filed under: Triticum aestivum (bread wheat)
Lineage: Eukaryota; Viridiplantae; Streptophyta; Magnoliopsida; Poales; Poaceae
Description: partial small subunit ribosomal RNA
Source: RNAcentral